Long non-coding RNA from Scylla paramamosain (green mud crab), 917 nucleotides. RefSeq lists it as uncharacterized. The record is from RefSeq and is a predicted model, not a curated record. NCBI's taxonomy places the organism in Eukaryota, Metazoa, Arthropoda, Malacostraca, Decapoda, Portunidae. The transcript has 4 exons.
UACAAGGUGCGCAAGCCGCACGUCUUUGUGACGUGGCAGUGGGGAGUGGGGAGGUGAGGUGAGGUGGCAGCAGGGUGAUGAGGUGGCGACGAACGGUCAGCCAGGGUUAGUUGCUGUCCGCCCCUACCUGAAGUGUGUUGUGAUGGAUCACUGGAUGUAACAUUUAUUCAAGACUUGGGAUUAUUGUAUUAUGCUGUUUAUGAAUCCAAUUACUGGUUCGGAAAGUUCAUGGAGGCAAUCCAUAUGCGGCUGGAGCUACCGUCAGGGCGUGGGGGCGGGGCGGCCACAGUGCGCCACUUCACUAUGUUUAGACAGGAGAGCGGCAUGGCAGCAAGACAGUGUCAUUGGGAAGCGUUAUCGUGUGUAUUGGUAGACACGUCGAUUUGUAUCUCAAGCCUCAUCUCACGUCAUGGAGUGUGUGGGUCUGUCUGCGUGUGUAAAGGUGGACGUGGUGAUUGCGCCUCAAGCUUCACCACUUGUCAUGUACUCUGCCUGCCUCUUGAUGCACCUGUGUAAAGGUUGUUGUGUCGUUUAUUGUUUGUCAUGUAUUCUACCUGUCUCUUUAUUCACCUGUGUAAAGGUUGUUGCAUCGACCAAUGACUCAACUUUAUUAUUUGCCAUGUAUUCUACCUGUCUCUUUAUUCACCGGUAUAAAGGUUGACGGGUUGAUCUAUGUAUACCUCAAACUUCACCCCUCAUGUACUCUUUUUGUCUACAUGAUUCACUGCAGUAAAUAAGAUAAUAAAAUAUGGGAAGCUGUAAGAAGCCAUCAGGCCUAGACGUGACGGUCUCUGUUCAAAACACACUUAUUUUCACCUCUCAUCACCAUCCAUACAUUUGUCUAGUUGCCAUAACGGAGAAAAAGAAAGUUAUGCAGUUAAUUUGUAGUUAGUAAGAUUGCGUGUUAUCUUGGUCCU